GAUGAAUGCUGGCGGCGCGCCUAACACAUGCAAGUCGAGCGGUAACAGGUCUAGUUUACUAGAUGCUGACGAGCGGCGGACGGCUGAGUAACGCGUGGGAACAUGCCCCAAAGUGAGGAAUAACUGCCCGAAAGGGUAGCUAAUGCCGCAUAUGAUCUUCGGAUUAAAGGAUUUAUCCGCUUUGGGAGUGGCCCGCGUACGAUUAGGUAGUUGGUGAGGUAAUGGCUCACCAAGCCCACGAUCGUUAACUGGUCUGAGAGGAUGAUCAGUCAGACUGGAACUGAGACACGGUCCAGACUCCUACGGGAGGCAGCAGUGAGGAAUAUUGGUCAAUGGGCGCAAGCCUGAACCAGCCAUGCCGCGUGCAGGAUGAAGCAUCUAUGGUGUGUAAACUGCUUUUGUACGGGAAGAAACCCUUGCUUGAGAGCAAGAUUGACGGUACCGUAAGAAUAAGGAUCGGCUAACUCCGUG
This 471-nucleotide ribosomal RNA is filed under the name uncultured bacterium. Its description in RNAcentral is "bacterial SSU rRNA". It matches the Rfam family "Bacterial small subunit ribosomal RNA", at positions 28 to 507 of the family's 1533-position model. The record is from RNAcentral.